Thamnophis elegans (Western terrestrial garter snake) is the source of this 447-nucleotide long non-coding RNA. RefSeq lists it as uncharacterized. The record is from RefSeq and is a predicted model, not a curated record. The transcript has 4 exons. NCBI's taxonomy places the organism in Eukaryota, Metazoa, Chordata, Lepidosauria, Squamata, Natricidae.
GGCCUCAGAGAGAGCUGCUACUCCUUGUCCUUCCUUCCUCCUACAAAGAGUUUCCUCGAUUGUUUCCCAAAUCCAAGAUGAGAGUUUUCUUCAUCCUGAAUUUCUUCUUCUUCAUGCUGGCUAUGUGUCUAGGAAGUCCCAGCUAAAUACCAAUAUUAUCCACCUUCACAAAAUGAAAAACAAGCCCUGCUUUCCUCUACAUCCCGAAAAAGGCAAACACCAUGUAACUAAAAAAAAACCAAAGUUGGGUUAAUUGCCACAGAUGCAUAUGCCACAUUUAUGGGAUGCACUGCAACCAGAGGUUCAAUAGUGGUUCAGAUGUGCCUCUACAAUGAAAGAUAAUGGUACGUCUACUGUUGUCAAUGUGCUAUUAUUUUGAUCUUCUCAGAGGAACCUGAUUAAAUCUCUUAAUAUGUGAAUGAAUCUGAAUAAACCUCACAUAACCAU